This is a non-coding RNA of Ictidomys tridecemlineatus (thirteen-lined ground squirrel), 513 nucleotides long. NCBI's taxonomy places the organism in Eukaryota, Metazoa, Chordata, Mammalia, Rodentia, Sciuridae. The record is from RefSeq and is a predicted model, not a curated record.
CCUCCUCCCUCUCUGCCACCUUCUCCUCCUGCUGCUGCAGCUGUGGGGCCGGAGCCCAGGCCAGAAGGUGACGAGAUGACACUCCUGCCACAAGCAGAGAAGAGCCAGCCGUGACCAGGAGCCCUGGAGGAGCGGAACAGCUGGGGAAGGCCAAGGGCACCCUCGGAGGUGGAGGGGAGAAGACAUGGGGACGCCGCGGGAGGCUGGGGCAGACGUCUGGCCGUCCCCGGGCUCCCCACUCUGACCCCGUUGUUCCAGGCAGGCGGCGCAUGCAGACGCGGGUCGCUCACGCGCAUCCCAGGACGGUGCCAUCGACCCCACGUCCAGCACCCAGCUGUGCCCCUGGGCCCAGCCCAUGCCCAGCUGCCCCUCACAGCCUCCUGCUGCCCCCCCCGCUGCCACCCCCCUGCCCUGUCCUCUCCAGGGAGGGCCCUGCUUCCCCUCCUUGCUCUUCACCUCUUGAGACAAAGCCAAUAAAGAUGCUCCCCGUGUGAGUCAGCUGCUCCCGCCAAA